RNAcentral lists this small RNA (3559 nucleotides) under Rattus norvegicus (Norway rat). RNAcentral's name for it is "uncharacterized LOC102550758". The record is from RNAcentral. Lineage: Eukaryota; Metazoa; Chordata; Mammalia; Rodentia; Muridae.
CACAGGACCAAAAGUGCAGGCACAUCAUUUAUUGAUAAGACAAAAAGAAUGUAAUGAAAUUAUCAAUGUUCUUGAAUUAAUUAUGAACAUGAUUAAGAAAGCUAAAAUCUCAGGAGCCAGGACCUCAUUACCCAUUCAGUCUUAGGGAUUGCUUUCAUUCAGCAAGGCAAAAAGGAGUUGAGCGGCCACAAUCGCCUUCCUCUCAUUUAUUUGUGCUAGAAUUAAGGUUUAUUUGUUUUCUGUUUCCUUCGUCUUCAGAUUGUUUCUCUGUCUCCAUCCAUUUCACAAACCCCUUUCCUCCUGUAUCUCAGAAGGGAGCACCUCCAGGGCCUACAUUUCUGCAGCCCGCACACCUCCUUGAGUGUGUGUCUCUCAGUCUGCUGGAGCUUCUAAAUAUCUCUCAAGCUUUUACGUCCGUACAGAAAUAUGAUAACGGGGAAAUCAUUUUUGACUCCCUUGCUUUGGUGAUACAGCCGCAGACUCAAUGACCUAACAUCCAUCCCAAAGACAAAGCGAAGACCCGAGCAACACUGUCUUCAAGGUAAGAGGAAGGAGACCCUCUGGACACUGGCACAUGGGAGAAGCCAUCCCCCCAAUUUAUAAUGAAUGAACGUCGGAGUAAAUCUCUUCAUUAACCAGAUAGAGCUUUCACUCCCAGGUGGAGAGCAUUAUAGACCACACGUGCUCAAAAUGAAGAAAACAAUUGAUAACAGCUGUGCCUGUCAAGCAUUCGGGAACGCCACAAAACCACCAAGGAGCCGACUCCAACACAAUCACACUAGGGUCUCUAUUCAAGCUGUCUUGGGCCACGCCACCAUCUCUUAUUCAGCUGGAUGGGAGGGUGAAGCUCUCAGAGGGACAAGGUUUGCUAGGAAAUGGCAAUGUGUUCCAGUGUUGGCAGAUUGAAAGGCAGUGACCUACAGAUGCAAGAAAAUCCCACAUGUCACAAUAAAGAGACCGGAAAAUAUUUCCAAGUGCACAGAUAGACUGGGGGAAAGUCCUUCAGAUCAGGGAUGCAGGGUUUAACAUAGAAUACACAUGGAAAUCUGAAAGCUAAAAUGAAGGUACUAGGAUCACAAGAAGCUAAGGGGUAUGGUUCAUCAGAGAACCUUCCUUUGCAUCGGAUGACAGUCAACAGAUGCACUCUCGAACGGUCAAAGUGCAGAACACACUUAACGGCGGAGUGCUCAGCCCUAACUAACGUCUGCAUUAGAUCUCUUCACUCCGAGACUCUGAGAACACCACAGAGGAGCCGCCAUCAUGGUUUGAAGAGACAGAGACAGUGGAGGGCUUGUGUGAGAGAGUGUCUUCUGGGCAUGAAAGGGCUCUUACAUCUGAGCUUUCAAGAUAGGAUUGCCCGAGUAGGAUGUGCACCAGAUUCCUCAAAGAUCAAAGAUGGGAGGGACUCCUGAGCUACCACCCUCUCUGGAGUACUAUUGGUGGUUCAUGAAUGCUGGCGUGACUGGAAUCAUUUCUCUUUGGAAGCACGGUCAUUGAUAGGUUUUCCACACUGUCAUGGAUUGCCCCAUGUCUAUGUGCAGGAAUCUACCUUUGUUUUUCUGCUUUAAAUAUUCAGUUUUCCAUAUGAAUGUCUCUGGGUUUUGGUUCCUCCGUAAUUCUUUCACUAGAGUUUUUGUUGUGGAGGGUUUCACUGCUUCAGUUACACUCAUUUCUACCUAUUUUACUGGGAUGAAUUUUACUGCUACUGCUGUUGUUUUUGUCCUUCCCCUCCCCAGAAGUGGGGACAGAACCUAUGGCUUUGAGAAUGCCAGACAUGCGCUGUGCCACUGGGCUUCACUCCAGCCUAUUUAUUAUUUGAUCAGGGGCUAUGGUGAAUUUUUUUUAAUUGUUAGUGUGUUCGUGGUAUAUAAAAUGUUUCUAUUUGUUGCUUGUGUUUCCUAUGACUACUGAGUUUUUCUCUUCCAACACAUUUUAGUCAGUCUUCUCUGUAUAUAAAAUCUUCCCGCAAAAGAGGUUGAUCUGACACCCUCUUUUCUGAUCGAAAAUCUUAUUAUUAUUUUAUUCCUUUCUUCUGAUGAAUUUUCUUACAAAAUUUCCUUUUUCUGUUCCAAAUAAGAGGCAAAUGUAUGUGGACAUCUUUUUUUUUUUCAGAUCUCAGAGGAAACACCUUCAUCUUCUUUCACUUAGCACACAGAAGCAGUGGCUUUAUCAUAUCUAGACCUUUGUGUAGUGAGGUAUCUUCCUCCUACACUUAAUCUCUUCUGGCUUUUUUUUUCAUAAAAGCAUGUUUAACUUCAAUGAAUACUUUUACUGCACCCACUAAUGAAAUUACUUCGAUCCUCUCCUUUGCUGUUGUGAUAUAUUUUGACUUUCCAUUUGUGCGUGUUAAGCCAUCCUUGUAUCUCUGGAAUAAACUCUAUUUAACAAGGUACAUUAUCUUUUUUAUGUGUUCAUUAGUCCAUUUCCCACUUAAAGGAGGAAUGGCUUAUUUGUUCCUGUGGUUUCACAUCAUUGUUGGUCCAUUGCGUUUUGGUUUACAAAAUAGAAACAUCGUGAUUAAAAGGCAUGAGGGCAAAGCAGAGCGGCUCUCUCACCUCACAGUAUCCAAGAAGAGGACAGAGAUAGGAAAAGGGUGAGGGAACAAGAUGCUCCCUUGAAGGGCACAGCCCAGUGACCAACUUCUAACCAGACCCACUUCCUAGGAUUUCUGCCACCUCAUAACAGCACUAAGAAUUAAGGAUAUUUUUAAUAUAUAAGCCUUGGGGGAAUAUUCGAUAUCUAAGCAUUAAUCAUGUGCCUUUUGCCAGUAUCACAUUUAACCCUGAUGUUUCUUUGUUGAAUUUUAAUCUUUAUGGCUUGUCCAUUUAUGAAAGUGGACACCAAUAUCUCGAACUCUCGCUGGUUUUGAAUCUACUUUCCCUUUUUAUCUAACAACACUUUCUUUACAUAGUGUGUGUGUGUGUGUGUGUGUGUGUCUGUGUGUGUGUGUGAUAUGUGAAUUUUUUCCUGGAACAGUGCAACAGUGCAAGCAAGUACUUAUUCAUCGCAGAUAAGGCAUAGCUAUAGACCGAAGUGUGAUUCCACUGUAGACUGAUGUGGAAGACGAGUGAGUUUAUGGGCUUUCACACAGAACAUGGGUAAGCUCGAGCCAGGAACACCAAUAGAGAACCUCAGACAGUGUGUGUGCACAAUGACUUUCACAUAGGCACACCAUGCCGUUCCCUUUCCACUUAACUUUACACAGUCUGUACUCUCACACCAUCCAAGGACUACAAGCCACUGGAACAGAUGUCAGUGGUGAGGGACACAGUGGCUUAGACCACAGGUGACUAUCUAUUUGGCCUUCUCCACUCUUCCUUUUAAGAUAGUGUCAACAGGUGCAAUCAUGAAAGUGUCUUAGAGGUGACCACAGCUGCUUCUGAUGAGGACAGUAAUGGCGACUAUGCUCAGGGUCAGCUUUCUACUAUGGCUUGGAAUGGUUCUUUCUUUGUAUUCAGUUGCUCCCUCUCACUUUAUAGAGUGGUCUCCUUUAUCUUGUGUUAGUAGGUCUUAUUUGACACACAAAAUUAAUAUAAAUCAUGAUAAACACUAAAGCCUA